AAAUUUCUGAGCCAGCCAAGGGACAGUAGUCCAGAAAUCUUGGGGAGGGUUUGAUGGUUCAGGCAAUAAAAAGAGAAGUCAUCUACCUAGCUGUUAUCUCGCUCUGUCCUGCUAAGAAUCUGCCUGCCUGAGUGAUGCAGCCAGGCUCCCUUGUUCCCUGGGGCAAGGAACCAGUAGAGGGAUAGGGAAUCACAGUGUUUCCCGGCUGCAAGGGCCCUUGGAGAUGGUUUUACAGAUGAGGAAGCAGAGUCCAGAGAAAGGAAGUGAUCUGCUGGGAACCACUGUACUUUUCACACAAGCAACUUUCCGGGCAUCUGCUAUGUGCUGUCCACAGGAUGGCGAGGGGUCCUAUCUCCAGUAAUGGUAUCUGCAAAGGAGUGCAGCUCCCAGCCUGCUAUCUGCAGGAGCCCGAGUGGGGAAGCCUGUGUAGUCUCAGGUCUCAGCCUUGACUUUCACGGUGUGACUGUGGUGUCUCAGGACUCUGCGACCCAGGAUCAUCAUUGUGACCAUCUUCCUAGUCUUCACUGCUUCCUUUACACCUCAAUUCUGAGGACCUGCUCUGAGCCGCACACGGUUCUGGGCUCUAGGAAUGGCGGAGGACUUGGGUGCCACGAGAGCACCAGGUAGUAGCUCCAGCUCAGCCUCCCCUAACCCUGACUCAAACAAAACCAUCAGAUGCAUCCCCUACCACUAUCUAUCUGUCUGAGGAUUCUCAGAACCUUUCCACUGGUGGGAAUGUAAAGUGAUGCAGCCCUGCGGAAAGAAGUUUGGCCAUUCCUCAAAAGUAUAUUAUAUAGAAUUACUAUAUGACCCGGCAACUCCCCUCCUAGGCAUAUGCCCAAAAGAAUUGAAAGCAAGGACUCAAACAAAUACUUGGGCGUACAUGCUUAUAGGAGCAUUAUUCACACUAGCCAAAGGUGGGCACAGUUGUCCAUCAGCAGAUGAAUGGCUACACAAGGUGUAGUAUAUACAUACAAAGAAAUACUACUAUUCAGCCAUAAAAAGGAAUGGAAUUCUGAUACAUGCAACAACAUGGAUGAACUUCAGAAACAUGCUAAGUUUCUAAGCCAAGCUAACAUGCUAAGAAGCCAGACACUGAAGGUCACAUAUUGUAUGAUUCUGCUUAUAUGAAACAUCUGGAAAGAGACAGAAAGCACAUCAGUGACUGCCAGGGCCUGGGAUGAGGAGAACUUGGGAGUGAUUGCUUCGUGGGCAUGAGUUUUCCCUUUGGGGUGAAGAAAAUGUUCUGCAACUAAAUAGAGGCAGCAGAUGCAUGACACUGUGAAUGUACUAAGUGCUACUGAAUUGUGUUUAAAAUGGUUAAUUUUAUAUUAUGUGAAUUUCACCUCUAAGAAUUUUUUUUUCUUUUUUUCUUUUUUUUUUUUUGAGACCAAGUCUCACUCUGUCACCCAGACUGGAGUGCAGUGGUGCAAUCUUGGCUCACUGCAACCUCUGCCUCCUGGGUUCAAGUGAUUCUCCUGCCUCAGCCUCCCAAGUAGCUGGGACUACAGGUGCCCGAUACCACACCACACCUGGCUAAUUUUCGUAUUUUUAGUAGAUAUGGGGUUUUGCCAUGUUGGCCAGGCUGGUCUUGAACUCCUGACCUCAUGUGAUCUGCCCACCUCAGCCUCCCAAAGUGCUGGGAUUACAGGUAUGAGCCAACAUGCCUGGCCUAAGAAAAAAUUUUAAUUAAAACUUGCCGCUGCCUACAAAUCUCACAGCACCCUGAUGUCACAUAUAUCAGCCGCAACUCCACCUGCUAACCCAGAGCUCCAGAUUCCUGACAUGAGGUAGUAGGUGAGACUGUUGAGGCAGGAAUUUGAAGAUUGGCCUGCAGUGGGGCCGCGUGCGGGUCAGGGGGUUGGCACGGGGGCCUCUCUUAGCUAGCGAGUGCACUAGAGGCCUCCCAACACAGGCAUCACACCUCGGAUCAAUUUUGUCCUGUCUCCCUAUCCCCAUGCUCACUGUAACACUCAUAAUGUGCUUUGCUGCACCUGGUGGGAGGAGUUAACGAUAUGUAAUAGUGGUAGCUGAGAAUUGUGGGGGCUAACAUGGCUUCAAAACACUCCCUUUGUCACUGAUUGGGAAGUAAUGAGAGGUCUAGAUCUUUAGCUUGGGCUUCCAAACUCAAUGGAUGGGCUCAGUUAACUCCCAGCAUCACUCCCACCCCUCCGGGAGGACACUCCACUACUCUGGCACUCUCUUGAAGACUCAGAUUAUUACUUCCUCCACACCAGAGCACCACUCUUCUGUGAAGACUCUUUGGCCCAGCCUCCAGUUUUCCCUUGCUUGCCUGAACUCCUGAGGUCACUGUCUGGGCCUCUUCCCUGGUGUUUAUUCUAACUGUGUGUGCAUGUAGGUCAGUCAUAUGAAAGUUUGUCAUUUUGGUAGUUAAUAUCAGCCCUACUUUGUAUUUGCUUUAAGAGGAAGUGAAAUACAUUCGUGCAUUUAUUUUGUCUUUUGUACUUGGCUGGGAUUCUGUAAUUAAUACUUGCUGUUUAAAUGUAGACUGGCUGUACGUGGCUCCCUCGAAUCUGACACUAGCAUUUCCUCUUGGGCUUGUCACAGGUGAUCUGACCUGGGCCUGUCCCCGGACUGAUGGCGGCAGCAUUGUUAGUGGGAAAGCAGGUGGAGCAGGAGGCUCUGUGGGAUUGGGAUGUGGACAGUGGGAGAUGCCAGGGGCACCCCAGUCUUACCCUGAGAACAGUA
RNAcentral lists this long non-coding RNA (2709 nucleotides) under Homo sapiens (human). RNAcentral's name for it is "HSALNT0334419". Lineage: Eukaryota; Metazoa; Chordata; Mammalia; Primates; Hominidae. The record is from RNAcentral.